RNAcentral lists this ribosomal RNA (400 nucleotides) under uncultured bacterium. Its description in RNAcentral is "bacterial SSU rRNA". It matches the Rfam family "Bacterial small subunit ribosomal RNA", at positions 356 to 773 of the family's 1533-position model. The record is from RNAcentral.
GGGGAAUAUUGCACAAUGGGCGAAAGCCUGAUGCAGCAACGCCGCGUGAGUGAUGAAGGCCUUCGGGUUGUAAAGCUCUGUCUUUGGGGACGAUAAUGACGGUACCCAAGGAGGAAGCCACGGCUAACUACGUGCCAGCAGCCGCGGUAAUACGUAGGUGGCAAGCGUUGUCCGGAUUUACUGGGCGUAAAGGAUGCGUAGGUGGAUAUGCAAGUCAGAUGUGAAAUACCCGGGCUUAACUCGGGUGCUGCAUUUGAAACUAUAUAUCUAGAGUGCAGGAGAGGUAAGUGGAAUUCCUAGUGUAGCGGUGAAAUGCGUAGAGAUUAGGAAGAACACCAGUGGCGAAGGCGACUUACUGGACUGUAACUGACACUGAGGCAUGAAAGCGUGGGGAGCAAAC